UUACGAACAAAUUUGAGUUCAGAUUGUGAAUAAUAUUAUUAAAGGAAAAUAAUAUCAAUCUUUUGAUUUUUGUGUUUCUGAAAUUAAACAUACAAUUUGGAAUAGGAAUAUUGAAAAUAUUUCAAGAAAAUUAUUAAACAAAUUUGUGAAGAGUAAAGAUAAACAGUGAUUGGACCAGAACUGAUUCUUGGAACCAUCUUAGAGUCAUCAACGGGUAGUGCAGAACCAAUUUUUAUAAAGUGGCAGCACAACCAAUAUAUUACAAACUGGGUGACCCUAGGUUGGAAAAAGCUUUCAUUGUGCAGAAGUAAAAGCUCUGUACAAGAAGUAAAAGCUCUCUCCAAGAAUUUGUAUUU
Calliphora vicina (urban bluebottle blowfly) is the source of this 356-nucleotide long non-coding RNA. RefSeq lists it as uncharacterized. NCBI's taxonomy places the organism in Eukaryota, Metazoa, Arthropoda, Insecta, Diptera, Calliphoridae. The transcript is spliced from 3 exons. The record is from RefSeq and is a predicted model, not a curated record.